This 253-nucleotide ribosomal RNA is filed under the name uncultured bacterium. Its description in RNAcentral is "partial 16S ribosomal RNA". It matches the Rfam family "Bacterial small subunit ribosomal RNA", at positions 524 to 776 of the family's 1533-position model. The record is from RNAcentral.
UACGAAGGGUGCAAGCGUUACUCGGAAUUACUGGGCGUAAAGCGUGCGUAGGUGGUUCGUUAAGUCUGAUGUGAAAGCCCUGGGCUCAACCUGGGAAUGGCAUUGGAAACUGGCGACCUAGAGUGCGGUAGAGGGUAGUGGAAUUCCCGGUGUAGCAGUGAAAUGUGUAGAGAUCGGGAGGAACAUCCGUGGCGAAGGCGACUACCUGGACCAGCACUGACACUGAGGCACGAAAGCGUGGGGAGCAAACAGG